UACGUAGGGUGCGAGCGUUAAUCGGAAUUACUGGGCGUAAAGCGUGCGCAGGCGGUUCGUUAAGUUCGUUGUGAAAGCCCCGGGCUCAACCUGGGAACUGCAAUGGAAACUGGCGGGCUUGAGUGUGGCAGAGGGGGGUGGAAUUCCGCGUGUAGCAGUGAAAUGCGUAGAUAUCUGGAGGAACACCGAUGGCGAAGGCAGCCCCCUGGGCUAACACUGACGCUCAUGCACGAAAGCGUGGGGAGCAAACAGG
RNAcentral lists this ribosomal RNA (253 nucleotides) under uncultured bacterium. RNAcentral's name for it is "partial 16S ribosomal RNA". It matches the Rfam family "Bacterial small subunit ribosomal RNA", at positions 524 to 776 of the family's 1533-position model. The record is from RNAcentral.